GGAGAGGUGCGAGAGUGGUUGAAUCGGGCGGUCUCGAAAACCGUUAUGGGAGCAAUUCUAUCGAGGGUUCGAAUCCCUCCCUCUCCUCCA
RNAcentral lists this transfer RNA (90 nucleotides) under Bacteroidota bacterium. RNAcentral describes it as "Bacteroidetes bacterium (activated sludge metagenome) tRNA-Ser". It matches the Rfam family "tRNA". From Rfam's summary of the family: Transfer RNA (tRNA) molecules are approximately 80 nucleotides in length. Their secondary structure includes four short double-helical elements and three loops (D, anti-codon, and T loops). The record is from RNAcentral. Lineage: Bacteria; Pseudomonadati; Bacteroidota.